RNAcentral lists this ribosomal RNA (319 nucleotides) under uncultured bacterium. RNAcentral's name for it is "bacterial SSU rRNA". It matches the Rfam family "Bacterial small subunit ribosomal RNA", at positions 470 to 789 of the family's 1533-position model. The record is from RNAcentral.
UGACGGUAACUUACCAGAAAGGGACGGCUAACUACGUGCCAGCAGCCGCGGUAAUACGUAGGUCCCGAGCGUUGUCCGGAUUUAUUGGGCGUAAAGCGAGCGCAGGCGGUUUAAUAAGUCUGAAGUUAAAGGCAGUGGCUUAACCAUUGUUCGCUUUGGAAACUGUUAGACUUGAGUGCAGAAGGGGAGAGUGGAAUUCCAUGUGUAGCGGUGAAAUGCGUAGAUAUAUGGAGGAACACCGGUGGCGAAAGCGGCUCUCUGGUCUGUAACUGACGCUGAGGCUCGAAAGCGUGGGUAGCGAACAGGAUUAGAUACCCUG